UUGAUGUAAUAGGCCAAUUUUGGCCUGGCCCAAUUUAUAUAAUAAAAAUAAAAAAAUAAAUCAAAUCAAUAAAAGUCCAAAUUUUGCAGCCUAUUUUUUUUUCAAAUAUCAGAGCCCAAUUAACAACAUGCAUAGCCCAAAUCAGAACUAUCCAAACCCAAUUAAAACUCCAACACUAGCCCUAGCCCACUAACCCACAACAUGUUCAGAAAAUAAAAACCCUAGGCCUCCCUUUGACUAACGCUGCACGUCACCUCGUGCGAGACCACCGCCGCACGCCAUCCUCCACGCGUCUAACACCUGCAAAAAUUGAAUGCAACAGCAGAAAGGAACACGCGAGCAACAGUGGUAGUAAAUAGCAAAGAGACAAAAUAAUAGAAGCUAACAGUCUGUAACUCGGUUAUAAAAGCCGAUUUAUUUCCUUUUUAAUUUUUUUACGCACAAAAAGAAAUCAAAGCAAAACAGAAGCUUAAAAAGGUUGAUUUUGAUUUUCAUUUCUCGUUUUCUUUUCGAUUUCCUUUUUAUUUUUUUAUGUUUUAUUAUAAAUCUAUUUUAAAUAAAAAGAUAAAAUAAAAACAGAAGAAGAGAAAACUUACCUGAACCCCGAGGUUGCGUCGUCAGAGUCCCCUCUCCAUCGUCGAAACCGAAUCAAAAGGGGAGGAAGGGCUUUCUUCUCUCGGGUUUUUAGGCUGAGAAGGCAUGGCCUUUAAGGGAGUUUUAAACAGGGGCUAAAAAGCUCGUUUCGCACCCUUCCGACCACCGCCCACGGUAGAGGAGCGGCGGCUCGGUGACGACUCCCCAAGACUAGGUCGAAACCCUAGUAGAGAAGAGGGGAAAGGGGUUUUAAGAUUUUUU
RNAcentral lists this long non-coding RNA (855 nucleotides) under Gossypium barbadense (sea-island cotton). RNAcentral's name for it is "long non-coding RNA (GBAR_LNC001916)". Lineage: Eukaryota; Viridiplantae; Streptophyta; Magnoliopsida; Malvales; Malvaceae. The record is from RNAcentral.